CCUACGGGAGGCAGCAGUAGGGAAUAUUGCUCAAUGGGGGAAACCCUGAAGCAGCAACGCCGCGUGGAGGAUGAAGGUUUUCGGAUUGUAAACUCCUUUUGUUAGAGAAGAUAAUGACGGUAUCUAACGAAUAAGCACCGGCUAACUCCGUGCCAGCAGCCGCGGUAAUACGGAGGGUGCAAGUGUUACUCGGAAUCACUGGGCGGAAAGAGCGCGUAGGCGGGAUAGCAAGUCAGAUGUGAAAUCCUAUGGCUUAACCAUAGAACUGCAUUUGAAACUGUUAUUCUAGAGUAUGGGAGAGGUAGGUGGAAUUCUUGGUGUAGGGGUAAAAUCCGUAGAGAUCAAGAGGAAUACUCAUUGCGAAGGCGACCUGCUAGAACAUAACAGACGCUGAUGCGCGAAAGCGUGGGGAGCAAACAGGAUUAGAUACCCGAGUAGUC
This 440-nucleotide ribosomal RNA is filed under the name uncultured bacterium. RNAcentral's name for it is "partial 16S ribosomal RNA". It matches the Rfam family "Bacterial small subunit ribosomal RNA", at positions 338 to 795 of the family's 1533-position model. The record is from RNAcentral.